GCGCAGCAGGCGAGAAUUUUUCUCAAUGGGGGCAACCCUGAAGGAGCGACGCCGCGUGGAGGAUGAAGGCUUUCGGGUUGUAAACUCCUGUCAUUUGAGAACAAGUGCCAACAAGUAACUACUGUUGGCUUGAUAGUAUCAGAAGAGGAAGGGACGGCUAACUCUGUGCCAGCAGCCGCGGUAAUACAGAGGUCCCAAGCGUUGUUCGGAUUCAUUGGGCGUAAAGGGUGCGUAGGUGGCGUGGUAAGUCGGGUGUGAAAUUUCGGAGCUUAACUCCGAAACUGCAUUCGAUACUGCCGUGCUUGAGGACUGGAGAGGAGACUGGAAUUUACGGUGUAGCAGUGAAAUGCGUAGAGAUCGUAAGGAAGACCAGUGGCGAAGGCGGGUCUCUGGACAGUUCCUGACACUGAGGCACGAAGGCUAGGGGAGCAAACGGGAUUAGAUACCCGCGUAGU
RNAcentral lists this ribosomal RNA (455 nucleotides) under uncultured organism. RNAcentral describes it as "bacterial SSU rRNA". It matches the Rfam family "Bacterial small subunit ribosomal RNA", at positions 346 to 794 of the family's 1533-position model. The record is from RNAcentral.